CAGCGGGUUAAUCUAAAUUUAAGAUGUCGAGCUUCAAACUCGAAUAUAAGCAAGGUGCUUACCUGUUGU
This 69-nucleotide transfer RNA is filed under the name Tridacna gigas (giant clam). Its description in RNAcentral is "tRNA-Trp". The record is from RNAcentral. Lineage: Eukaryota; Metazoa; Mollusca; Bivalvia; Cardiida; Cardiidae.